RNAcentral lists this unclassified non-coding RNA (3608 nucleotides) under Leishmania donovani. RNAcentral describes it as "gene:LdHU3.32.2090(CDS-product:Putative_GTPase_ac tivating_protein_for_Arf_putative)". Lineage: Eukaryota; Euglenozoa; Kinetoplastea; Trypanosomatida; Trypanosomatidae. The record is from RNAcentral.
GGAGCCUACGUGCUUACCACACUAGACUGAAUAAGAAAUAGGCCACCACCGCAAAGAGUAACACACACACACACAGACACACAGAGACCGACUUGUUCCUUCCUUCACCUCCCACUGCCGCUUUCUAGCGGCGUGGAAUCGACGAAUUGCCGCGGGCACAACAACGUCAGCUACAGAGGGAGAGACUAACUGCGGAGGUGACACCACGUGGUGUUGUCGCAUCCGCACCAGUCACCUCGUGCGUCCCCGGCGGUGUCUCUCGCUCUGUCUAUGUUUGGUUUCUGUCGUUGUUGUGUGCUUUUCGCCGCUUUGUGUUUCUUCUUGCUCCAGGGCGUUGGUGGGGUCGUAUACGUGGCGGCGUUUUUUUUUUCGCUGCCGACGAAUCAGAGAAACCGAGCCCGUUCGCACCUUGUUUCUCCCUCUCCCUCCCACAAGCGCCCACCCCCUCCGCCGCCGCCGUCCCACGUGGCACCCCACAAUCGCUUCCUUCUUGCGGGCGCUGCGUCUACAUGGCGUCCGUACAGCGGCAGACCAAAGAAGUGCAGGAGCGAAAUCAACGACAGCUACUAGAGCUGCUGAAGCAGCCCGCCAAUGAUGAGUGUAUGGACUGCAGCGCGCGUCACCCGACGUGGGCGAGCGUGAAUCUCGGCAUCUUCAUCUGCAUCCGCUGCAGCGGCCUGCAUCGUCAGCUGGGCGUGCAUAUCAGCAAGGUAAAAAGCUGCACGAUGGAUCUCUGGGAACCGGAGCAGAUCACCUUCAUGUCAAAGAUGGGCAACGAGCGCGCCAAGCGGGCCUACGAGGCCACCAUUCCGACCAGCUACGUCAAACCUGGGGAACGGGACACCUCAGCCAACGUAAUGAAGUGGAUUCGCCUUAAAUAUGUGCAGAGGCGGUACUACCGGCCACUUCCUCCGUCCGCAGCGGACUCCAGCGGCGGAGCUGCUGUGGAUGCGCAAAGCGACGCAGAGCGCGCCAAAGCACCUCGAGCUGGCGAAGACCUCCAACGUGCGCAACCUGCCACACCAACAAAGUCUGUCAGGGGCACGGUGCCGCUGACCUCGAACCCGGUCGCAGCGACUCGGACAGCAGCUGUGGCUUCCCUUGCUGCGCUCGACACCAACACGUCCCCUCGAGCCGCGCUCGACGCUUCGUAUCUGUCAAAGCAGAAGGAAGCGGCCAUUUUCGACUGGCUGCGCACAGCCACACCUUGUGUGGCGCUAGAGGCACCCCUGAACACGUCCGCACCGCCAGUGCAGCCGACAUUGGUCGCGAAGACCUCUCUCUCGAAUAGUGUUUCGUCUCCGACCGUCGUGGUGCGCGAGAUGCCGUCGCCGUCCACCUCCGUAACAGUCAUCGUUGCCACCGAAGUAGAUGGACCAGAGGCAGCGGCCCCGGCACUCGAAAACAUGCCGGGUGCAGCCGAAGAAAGCGGCGUGAAGGUCAGGCGUCGCCGCACGGCGAAGCGGACAAAACGGACGAAGAGGAUGGCGCCUCCUGUACCGCUCGAUGAGGUGCGUAAUUAUGCUGGUGAGCCAGUGCAUGCGCAGGUGUUUGCCCCAGAGGAUCGCGAUCGAGUUCGAACGGCGACACCGCCGCUGCUGCGAGAUCCCUCAGACGACGCUAAGCAGGAAACUACAGUGGUGCCAGUGACGGAAACAGGACCUCGCGAAGAGUCAAAGGCGUCAGAACGAUCACGUCGACAUCGGCGCAAGCGAGCGCCUCUAACGGAGGUGCUUGAGAGCAAUCCAGUCCCAUCAGAGCUGUCUUUCCCAGUGUUCUCGGCCUCGCGAGGCUCUUCUCCUCCCGCGCUCCCUUUGGCGCCGUCACUGACGUUGAGGACGGUUCUGGUGGAACCGUGCUGCUCGUCACAGUGUGCUUUAGACAGUGUAGCGCGCGUUUCUUAUCGGCACCGCAAGCAGCGUGGACAAGACCUAGAGAUGCUGCAAGAGUCGCCCGGGCGGCCAGCCACGCAACAGCUGCCCCCUCGCCUUGCGCACGGCCCCGCGUGCGCGUCUCCACGAGCAGCUCUCCGAGAAACGCCGCCGCUGUUGUCGGAGGAGCCGAUGUCGCCCACCACCUCCAGUGCCAUAGCGCUUGCGCGGCUCACUUCGGUUGAGGAGCGCGCACAUUUCGUACCCUGUGUCGUGGAUGCAACGCCCGUGCCUUCUGCCGCGGCAAUGAACUCGUCCUCCGCUUCGCGUCGGUCGUCACUGACGGGCGCGGCUACUCCGACUUCCAUGCGCGCGCCUUUCAUGCGGCCCACCGCAGCAGCAGCGGUGCGCUCGCGGCACGGGGCAUGGCAGACACAUCGGCCGAAGCAGGUCUUGGGCAAGCCGUAUUAUCUCUGCAGCUCGCGCCGAGCACUCCUGUCGCCGCCAGCGCCGGAUGAGGACAAGUAUGUACCGCCUCAGGGGAUCCGCUCAUCUGAGCCCUCCUUCUCUGAUGCGCUGCAAGCUCAUCCGCCACCGUCUGUGAGGUGGACGGCAACACCUUCAAACGCAUCCUUUACCCGCCUUCGAGGCUCACUUUUGUCGCCAAUAGCUGAGGAGGGCAGCGCGGCGCAGCGGGCACCGUCAACGCAGUUCUAUGCGUCAUCCACACACAAAACAGGGACCUUGAGCAACGUGCUACAGAUGCAUCGACGCCUGGAGGAGCAGCUGCGUUUGCUGAAGGAGCGAUUCCGGCAGAAAUCCCAUCCCAACUAGGCGGGAUCGAUAAAAGGAGAAUGAGCCACAACUGUCCAGUUUUUUGAUAUGGGAGAAGCCGUGGGAGAGGCGAGGUCGCAAUGGGGUACUGUGAGUGCUUCCGUCUGUUGUGGAGGGGCUAUCCUCAUGCCGCGUGUAUGGGAUGCCCUCGCAUGUUUCAGAGGGCGGACGCCCUCACGCUCGUUUCAUGUGCCUCCCUGUUCUUCUCGUCGUCGCGAUGCUGAAGAUGUCUGUGUGUGUGUGUGGGGGGGGGGGCACCACCGUUGCAUCGAAAGGAUGACUCUCUCUCUUUCUCUCUACGAGAUUUGCUGCCUGAGACGAAUUCUCUCUCUCUCUUGCUCAUCUUUUUCCGUUUUACGCGGGGGAAGGGGGAGGGAGAGGAGAUGCUUCUCGUCGCUCAUCAUCUUUUCCGGCACAUGUGUUUCGUUGGUUGCGGAGUGCGACGGCUCUCUGCUGAACAACACAUUGAUAUAUAUAUAUAUAUACAUAUGCUUGCAUAAAUAUAUAUAUAUGUGUGGACGAGACGUACACAACAGCCAAAGCGAUGUAUUGUAAGAGACGCCCUCCGUGAGGUAGGCUGAUGCAUUUUGAUGUGGAGGGGGGGUGCGUUGCAACUCCGUAGUCAAGUGCUGCUGUUACCAUGAGUGGCUCUGCAAUGGAAACCACCCGUUUAGGAUGCGGUGGCGGCGCUGUAUCACACGAGAAACGAAAAUUAGGUGCGGCGGACAAGGAAGAACUCCACAGUACACCGAAGCGUUUCUGAUGAAGCCUCCCCUUCUCAGUGUCGUGGAGACGUCCUUCACUGUUUUCCCGUUGUUUUUUUCUUAUGUUGCUUUUUCUCUCUGCUGGUAUUCGACCUGCUUGGCGACAUGGACGACUUUCUGCCCUCCCCCGUCUCCGCAG